GGAGAUGAGGGUGAUCCAGCUGUGACGUCUGUCACCCCAUCAGUCUCCAGGGUGGAUUGGGCAGAUGGGACUGGCUAGGCCAGCGUCCCCUUCCUCCCUCACUGCUCCGUGUGUGUCCCUCUUGAAGCUGCAAGCUGGGUCCAAGAGGGCGACCUUCCCUGAUGGAGGAGGACCGUUCUUCCGUCAAGGGUAUGUGAGGAGCUGUGCUCCCCCCGGAGAACCUCCAAACAAGCCCUCAAGGUUCCAUUUGCAGGAGGACGUAGGGUGGUCAGGCUUCCCAAGACUCCAGACGCAUCCAAAGGAGGUGGUGCCUCAUUUCUUUUUUU
RNAcentral lists this small nuclear RNA (326 nucleotides) under Felis catus (domestic cat). RNAcentral describes it as "7SK RNA". It matches the Rfam family "7SK RNA". Rfam says of the family: 7SK was discovered as an abundant small nuclear RNA in the mid-70s but a possible function has only recently been suggested. Two independent studies have found that 7SK RNA binds the CDK9/cyclin T complex (known as elongation factor P-TEFb). The record is from Rfam by way of RNAcentral. Lineage: Eukaryota; Metazoa; Chordata; Mammalia; Carnivora; Felidae.